RNAcentral lists this long non-coding RNA (221 nucleotides) under Elaeis guineensis (African oil palm). RNAcentral's name for it is "long non-coding RNA (EGUI_LNC022625)". The record is from RNAcentral. Lineage: Eukaryota; Viridiplantae; Streptophyta; Magnoliopsida; Arecales; Arecaceae.
CUUCGAUAUACAGUUUAAAUAACCAUUUUUCUAAUAUAUAAUAUAUAUCCAAGCAACUCAUAUCUAAGCAUUCUUGGUACGCAAAUACAUACCCAACAAUUCAUUGAUAUACUCACUAUUUUAUCGACUAUACCUUAUUUAAGCCUCAAAAUGAAGCAAUAUAUAUUUGGUUGCUGUUUCGUCAAUACAUAGCAUAUGUUCAAGUAAUACACACAUGAGCC